AUUGAACGCUGGCGGCAGGCCUAACACAUGCAAGUCGAACGGUAACAGGAAACAGCUUGCUGUUUCGCUGACGAGUGGCGGACGGGUGAGUAAUGUCUGGGAAACUGCCUGAUGGAGGGGGAUAACUACUGGAAACGGUAGCUAAUACCGCAUAACGUCGCAAGACCAAAGAGGGGGACCCUCGGGCCUCUUGCCAUCGGAUGUGCCCAGAUGGGAUUAGCUUGUUGGUGGGGUAACGGCUCACCAAGGCGACGAUCCCUAGCUGGUCUGAGAGGAUGACCAGCCACACUGGAACUGAGACACGGUCCAGACUCCUACGGGAGGCAGCAGUGGGGAAUAUUGCACAAUGGGCGCAAGCCUGGUGCAGCCAUGCCGCGUGUAUGAAGAAGGCCUUCGGGUUGUAAAGUACUUUCAGCGGGGAGGAAGGGAGUAAAGUUAAUACCUUUGCUCAUUGACGUUACCCGCAGAAGAAGCACCGGCUAACUCCGUG
This 490-nucleotide ribosomal RNA is filed under the name uncultured bacterium. RNAcentral's name for it is "partial 16S ribosomal RNA". It matches the Rfam family "Bacterial small subunit ribosomal RNA", at positions 30 to 507 of the family's 1533-position model. The record is from RNAcentral.